AUGCAGAACCAGGCGCUGAUGGUGGAAGGGCUCUCGGGUGACGGUGGAGUAGGCGGCAGUGUAGUAUCCCUCCGCACCAAUGUUAGAUGCGAUAGGAAUGUGCCUGAAAGGGGAAGUGUCCAACGCCUGAUACUCUCCACGAAGACGUGUCAGAGCCGCAUGAGCAGUAUCGUGGACUGCCAUCUCGAUGGUCACUCCAACACCAUGAGCGGUGUGCAGCACGGUAGUGGACUCAUACUCCCGAGAGUAGAGGUGGACGAUGGCACGGUACUGCUCCUGGUUAAAGUCCCGAUACUCCUCGUAGACGGUGUACUCAGGGUGCUAGCGAUAACCUAG
This 336-nucleotide ribosomal RNA is filed under the name Triticum aestivum (bread wheat). RNAcentral describes it as "partial small subunit ribosomal RNA". The record is from RNAcentral. Lineage: Eukaryota; Viridiplantae; Streptophyta; Magnoliopsida; Poales; Poaceae.